GACCUCGUAGCUCAACUGGAUAGAGCAGGUCCGUCCUAAGGACAAGGUUACAGGUUCAACUCCUGUCGAGGUCA
Molecule: transfer RNA, 74 nt
Filed under: Candidatus Uhrbacteria bacterium
Lineage: Bacteria; Candidatus Uhriibacteriota
Description: tRNA-Arg
Rfam family: tRNA
About the family: Transfer RNA (tRNA) molecules are approximately 80 nucleotides in length. Their secondary structure includes four short double-helical elements and three loops (D, anti-codon, and T loops). Further hydrogen bonds mediate the characteristic L-shaped molecular structure. tRNAs have two regions of fundamental functional importance: the anti-codon, which is responsible for specific mRNA codon recognition, and the 3' end, to which the tRNAs corresponding amino acid is attached (by aminoacyl-tRNA synthetases). tRNAs cope with the degeneracy of the genetic code in two manners: having more than one tRNA (with a specific anti-codon) for a particular amino acid; and 'wobble' base-pairing, i.e. permitting non-standard base-pairing at the 3rd anti-codon position.
Source: RNAcentral